CCUACGGGGGGCUGCAGUGGGGAAUAUUGGACAAUGGGGGGAACCCUGAUCCAGCCAUGCCGCGUGUGUGAAGAAGGCCCUCGGGUUGUAAAGCACUUUCAGUGAGGAAGAACGCCUGGUGGUUAAUACCCAUCAGGAAAGACAUCACUCACAGAAGAAGCACCGGCUAACUCCGUGCCAGCAGCCGCGGUAAUACGGAGGGUGCGAGCGUUAAUCGGAAUUACUGGGCGUAAAGCGCGCGUAGGUGGCUUGAUAAGCCGGUUGUGGAAGCCCCGGGCUCAACCUGGGAACGGCAUCCGGAACUGUCAAGCUAGAGUGCAGGAGAGGAAGGUAGAAUUCCCGGUGUAGCGGUGAAAUGCGUAGAGAUCGGGAGGAAUACCAGUGGCGAAGGCGGCCUUCUGGACUGACACUGACACUGAGGUGCGAAAGCGUGGGUAGCAAACAGGAUUAGAUACCCUAGUAGUC
This 465-nucleotide ribosomal RNA is filed under the name Vreelandella stevensii. Its description in RNAcentral is "partial 16S ribosomal RNA". It matches the Rfam family "Bacterial small subunit ribosomal RNA", at positions 338 to 795 of the family's 1533-position model. The record is from RNAcentral. Lineage: Bacteria; Pseudomonadati; Pseudomonadota; Gammaproteobacteria; Oceanospirillales; Halomonadaceae.